RNAcentral lists this ribosomal RNA (252 nucleotides) under uncultured prokaryote. Its description in RNAcentral is "partial 16S rRNA". It matches the Rfam family "Archaeal small subunit ribosomal RNA", at positions 475 to 726 of the family's 1478-position model. The record is from RNAcentral.
ACCGGCAGCUCAAGUGGUGGCCAUUUUUAUUGGGCCUAAAGCGUUCGUAGCCGGUUUGAUAAGUCUCUGGUGAAAUCCCGCAGCUUAACUGUGGGACUUGCUGGAGAUACUAUUAGACUUGAGGUCGGGAGAGGUUAGGGGUACUCCCAGGGUAGGGGUGAAAUGCUAUGAUCCUGGGAGGACGACCUGUGGCGAAGGCGCGUAACUGGAACUAGCCUGACGGUGAGUAACGAUAGCCAGGGGUGCGAACCG